RNAcentral lists this transfer RNA (64 nucleotides) under Dipodomys ordii (Ord's kangaroo rat). It matches the Rfam family "tRNA". From Rfam's summary of the family: Transfer RNA (tRNA) molecules are approximately 80 nucleotides in length. Their secondary structure includes four short double-helical elements and three loops (D, anti-codon, and T loops). Further hydrogen bonds mediate the characteristic L-shaped molecular structure. tRNAs have two regions of fundamental functional importance: the anti-codon, which is responsible for specific mRNA codon recognition, and the 3' end, to which the tRNAs corresponding amino acid is attached (by aminoacyl-tRNA synthetases). tRNAs cope with the degeneracy of the genetic code in two manners: having more than one tRNA (with a specific anti-codon) for a particular amino acid; and 'wobble' base-pairing, i.e. permitting non-standard base-pairing at the 3rd anti-codon position. Lineage: Eukaryota; Metazoa; Chordata; Mammalia; Rodentia; Heteromyidae. The record is from Rfam by way of RNAcentral.
GGUGGCUCAGUGGUAGAGUGCUUGCCUUGCCUGCAUGAGGCCCUGGGAUCGAUUCCCAGUACCA